UUCGCAAUGCCCGAAAGGGUGACGAACCGACGCCGCGUGCGGGAAGAAGGCCUUCGGGUUGUAAACCGCUGUCGGGAGUUAAGAAAUGUAAGGAUGUUAAUAGCAUCCUUACUUGACUAAGGCUCCGGAGGAAGCCACGGCUAACUCUGUGCCAGCAGCCGCGGUAAUACAGAGGCGGCAAGCGUUGUUCGGAAUUAUUGGGCGUAAAGAGCACGUAGGCGGCCGUGAAAGUCGGUUGUGAAAGCCUUCCGCUCAACGGAAGAACGGCAUCCGAUACUGCAUGGCUUGAGUGCGGGAGGGGAGAGUGGAACUUCUGGUGGAGCGGUGAAAUGCGUAGAUAUCAGAAGGAACGCCGGCGGCGAAAGCGACUCUCUGGCCCGUAACUGACGCUGAGUGUGCGAAAGCUAGGGGAGCAAACGGGAUUAGAUACCCCGGUAGUCCUAGCCGUAAACGAUGGGCACUAAGUAGAGGGGUUUU
This 477-nucleotide ribosomal RNA is filed under the name uncultured anaerobic ammonium-oxidizing bacterium. RNAcentral's name for it is "bacterial SSU rRNA". It matches the Rfam family "Bacterial small subunit ribosomal RNA", at positions 365 to 832 of the family's 1533-position model. The record is from RNAcentral.